AUGUGUCCCCGUGUUCCGACGUCCCCCCACGUUCCCAUGCGUCCCCAUAUGCCCCCCCAUGUCCCCAUAUGCCCCCAUGCCCCCCCAUAUGUCCCCACGUCCCCAUAUGCCCCCCCACAUCCCCAUAUGUCCCCAUGUCCCCAUAGGUCCCCACGUCCCCAUGUGUCUCCAUGUUCUGAUGUCCCCCCACGUCCCCAUGUGUCCCCAUGCUCCGACGUCCCCAUACGUCCCCCCAUGUCCCCACGUUCCGAUGUCCCCAUAUGUCCCCAUCUUCUGAUGUCCCCAUACGUCCCCCCACAUCCCCACACGUCCCCGUGUUCUGAUGUCCCCCCCACAUCCCCAUAUGUCCCCAUGUUCUGAUGUCCCCCCAUGUCCCCAUAUGUCCCCAUGUUCUGAUGUCCCCCCAUGUCCCCACAUGUCCCCAUGUUCUGAUGUCCCCCCCCGUCCCCCGGUGUCGCGACGCCCGCAGCUCAGCUCAGCGCAGCGCAGCGAUGUGCAGCAGCAGUUGGUGCGCAGCUUCAUCCAGGGAGCCCUGCAGCCCACAGAGCCGUGGGGAGCUGUGGGGCACGGAGUGCUGACCCACAGCCCCGCCCCAUAGCGUCAGUGUGGGGCACGGAGUGCUGACCCACAGCCCGGCCCCAUAGCGUCAGUGUGGGGCACGGAGUGCUGACCCACAGCCCGGCCCCAUAGCGUCAGUGUGGGACACGGAGUGCUGACCCACGGCCCCACAGCCCCACAGCCCCGCCCCAUAGCGUCAGUGUGGGGCAUGGAGUGCUGACCCACAGCCCCACAUCCCUGCCCCAUAGGGUCAAUGUGGGGCAUUUUAUGGUCCCGACCCCACAGCCCUACAUCCCAGCCCCAUAGGGUUGGUGUGGGGCACCUUGUGGCCCCGAUCCCACAUCCCCACAUCCCAGCCCCAUAGGGUUGGUGUGGGGCACGUUAUGGUCCUGAUCCCACAUCCCUGCCCCAUAGGGUCAAUGUGGGGCAUUUUAUGGUCCCGACCCCACAGCCCUACAUCCCAGCCCCAUAGGGUUGGUGUGGGGCACCUUGUGGCCCCGAUCCCACAUCCCCACAUCCCAGCCCCAUAGGGUCAGUGUGGGACACCUUGUGGCCCCAACCCCACAACCCGGCCCCACAGGGUCGGUGUGGGGCACCUUGUGGCCCCGACCCCACAUCCCGGCCCCAUAGGGUCGGUGUGGGGCACCUUAAGGUCCCGACUCCACAUCGUGGCCCCAUAGGAUCGGUGUGGGGCACCUUGUGGCCCCGACCCCACAUCCCUGCCCCAUAGGGUUGGUGUGGGGCACCUUGUGGCCCCAACCCCACAUCCCAGCCCCAUUUUGCGCUGGGUCCCCACCUGCGC
RNAcentral lists this long non-coding RNA (1360 nucleotides) under Phasianus colchicus (ring-necked pheasant). RNAcentral describes it as "lncRNA (ENSPCLG00000014996.1)". Lineage: Eukaryota; Metazoa; Chordata; Aves; Galliformes; Phasianidae. The record is from RNAcentral.